Etheostoma spectabile (orangethroat darter) is the source of this 941-nucleotide long non-coding RNA. RefSeq lists it as uncharacterized. The record is from RefSeq and is a predicted model, not a curated record. The transcript is spliced from 3 exons. Lineage: Eukaryota; Metazoa; Chordata; Actinopteri; Perciformes; Percidae.
AUUUAUGUAUAUUUAUGUAUAUAUUUAUAUAUAUUUAUGUAUAUAUUUAUAUAUAUUUAUGUAUAUAUUUAUAUAUAUUUAUGUAUAUUUAUGUAUAUAUUUAGGAGGGAGGGGGCCAUGCAGGCGGGGCUCCAGCGAGCCGUCAGCGUCCCGCUCUCAUUGGCCGAGAGGGUCAACGUCCUCUGGGCGCCACUCAAAGAACUGGUCGUCCACGGCAACAUCGCCUGCAAGUCUGACGCUCAGGUAGCAGCCAAGGCGUUGGAGACGGCCGUGUUCGGAGCGUAUUUUAACGUCAUCAUCAACCUGAAAGACAUCAAGGACCAGGACUUCAAGAUGGCCACUGAGCAGAGAGCAGCAUUGUUGCUGCAGGAAGCGAAGGACAGCGCCGUUGCCGUCCUGCUCGCUGCUGACAACAGGAAGUGAAUUCUUCUUCUUCAACAUUUAACUUCACUGUGAUUUAAAGGGUAAUUUCAGUUUUUAACCUGGACCAGUUUCCGUGUUUCCCCACCAGACUCCCUGUAAAUAAUCAGGACUUUUAGAUUUACAUGGAGUCCGGUGGAGAUUUGCUGCUCUAUACACGCUAAAAGUAGUGAUUAUUUACAUGGAGUCUGGUGGAGAUAUGCUGCUCUAUACACACUAAAAGUAGUGAUUAUUUACAUGGAGUCUGGUGGAGAUAUGCUGCUUUAUACACGCUAAAAGUAGUGAUUAUUUACAUGGAGUCUGGUGGAGAUAUGCUGCUCUAUACACGCUAAAAGUAGUGAUUAUUUACAUGGAGUCUGGUGGAGAUAUGCUGCUCUAUACACGCUAAAAGUAGUGAUUAUUUACAUGGAGUCUGGUGGAGAUAUGCUGCUCUAUACACGCUAAAAGUAGUGAUUAUUUACAUGGAGUCUGGUGUGUUUGGUGAUGGGGAUUUCGGGGAUUUCAGUCUUUCUCUGUAGGGA